GUGGACCCGUUACCCGGGUUGCGGACAGUGUCUGGUGGGUAGUUUGACUGGGGCGGUCUCCUCCUAAAGAGUAACGGAGGAGCACGAAGGUUGGCUAAUCCUGGUCGGACAUCAGGAGGUUAGUGCAAUGGCAUAAGCCAGCUUGACUGCGAGCGUGACGGCGCGAGCAGGUGCGAAAGCAGGUCAUAGUGAUCCGGUGGUUCUGAAUGGAAGGGCCAUCGCUCAACGGAUAAAAGGUACUCCGGGGAUAACAGGCUGAUACCGCCCAAGAGUUCAUAUCGACGGCGGUGUUUGGCACCUCGAUGUCGGCUCAUCACAUCCUGGGGCUGAAGUAGGUCCCAAGGGUAUGGCUGUUCGCCAUUUAAAGUGGUACGCGAGCUGGGUUUAGAACGUCGUGAGACAGUUCGGUCCCUAUCUGCCGUGGGCGCUGGAGAACUGAGGGGGGCUGCUCCUAGUACGAGAGGACCGGAGUGGACGCAUCACUGGUGUUCGGGUUGUCAUGCCAAUGGCACUGCCCGGUAGCUAAAUGCGGAAGAGAUAAGUGCUGAAAGCAUCUAAGCACGAAACUUGCCCCGA
RNAcentral lists this ribosomal RNA (576 nucleotides) under Salmonella enterica subsp. enterica. RNAcentral's name for it is "partial 23S ribosomal RNA". It matches the Rfam family "Bacterial large subunit ribosomal RNA", at positions 2227 to 2802 of the family's 2925-position model. The record is from RNAcentral. Lineage: Bacteria; Pseudomonadati; Pseudomonadota; Gammaproteobacteria; Enterobacterales; Enterobacteriaceae.